This 869-nucleotide ribosomal RNA is filed under the name Aneurinibacillus aneurinilyticus. Its description in RNAcentral is "bacterial SSU rRNA". It matches the Rfam family "Bacterial small subunit ribosomal RNA", at positions 50 to 910 of the family's 1533-position model. Lineage: Bacteria; Bacillati; Bacillota; Bacilli; Caryophanales; Paenibacillaceae. The record is from RNAcentral.
AAUACAUGCAAGUCGAGCGGACCAAAGAAGAGCUUGCUCUUCGGCGGUUAGCGGCGGACGGGUGAGUAACACGUAGGCAACCUGCCUGUACGACUGGGAUAACUCCGGGAAACCGGAGCUAAUACCGGAUACGUUUUUCAGACCGCAUGGUCUGAAAGAGAAAGACCUUUGGUCACGUACAGAUGGGCCUGCGGCGCAUUAGCUAGUUGGUGGGGUAACGGCCUACCAAGGCGACGAUGCGUAGCCGACCUGAGAGGGUGAUCGGCCACACUGGGACUGAGACACGGCCCAGACUCCUACGGGAGGCAGCAGUAGGGAAUCUUCCGCAAUGGACGAAAGUCUGACGGAGCAACGCCGCGUGAACGAUGAAGGUUUUCGGAUCGUAAAGUUCUGUUGUUAGGGAAGAACCGCCGGGAUGACCUCCCGGUCUGACGGUACCUAACGAGAAAGCCCCGGCUAACUACGUGCCAGCAGCCGCGGUAAUACGUAGGGGGCAAGCGUUGUCCGGAAUUAUUGGGCGUAAAGCGCGCGCAGGCGGCUUCUUAAGUCAGGUGUGAAAGCCCACGGCUCAACCGUGGAGGGCCACUUGAAACUGGGAGGCUUGAGUGCAGGAGAGGAGAGCGGAAUUCCACGUGUAGCGGUGAAAUGCGUAGAGAUGUGGAGGAACACCCGUGGCGAAGGCGGCUCUCUGGCCUGUAACUGACGCUGAGGCGCGAAAGCGUGGGGAGCGAACAGGAUUAGAUACCCUGGUAGUCCACGCCGUAAACGUUGAGUGCUAGGUGUUGGGGACUCCAAUCCUCAGUGCCGCAGCUAACGCAAUAAGCACUCCGCCUGGGGAGUACGGCCGCAAGGCUGAAACUCAAAGGAAU